This 433-nucleotide ribosomal RNA is filed under the name uncultured bacterium. RNAcentral's name for it is "partial 16S ribosomal RNA". It matches the Rfam family "Bacterial small subunit ribosomal RNA", at positions 29 to 507 of the family's 1533-position model. The record is from RNAcentral.
AACGAACGCUGGCGGCAUGCCUAACACAUGCAAGUCGAACGAGACCUUCGGGUCUAGUGGCGCACGGGUGCGUAACGCGUGGGAACCUGCCCUUAGGUUCGGAAUAACUCCCCGAAAGGGGUGCUAAUACCGGAUAAUGUCUUCGGACCAAAGAUUUAUCGCCUUUGGAUGGGCCCGCGUUGGAUUAGCUAGUUGGUAGGGUAAAAGCCUACCAAGGCGACGAUCCAUAGCUGGUCUGAGAGGAUGAGCAGCCACACUGGGACUGAGACACGGCCCAGACUCCUACGGGAGGCAGCAGUGGGGAAUAUUGGCCAAUGGGCGAAAGCCUGAUCCAGCAAUGCCGCGUGAGUGAUGAAGGCCUUAGGGUUGUAAAGCUCUUUUACCCGGGAUGAUAAUGACAGUACCGGGAGAAUAAGCCCCGGCUAACUCCGUG